This 433-nucleotide ribosomal RNA is filed under the name uncultured bacterium. Its description in RNAcentral is "partial 16S ribosomal RNA". It matches the Rfam family "Bacterial small subunit ribosomal RNA", at positions 29 to 507 of the family's 1533-position model. The record is from RNAcentral.
AACGAACGCUGGCGGCAUGCCUAACACAUGCAAGUCGAACGAGACCUUCGGGUCUAGUGGCGCACGGGUGCGUAACGCGUGGGAACCUGCCCUUAGGUUCGGAAUAACUCCCCGAAAGGGGUGCUAAUACCGGAUAAUGUCUUCGGACCAAAGAUUUAUCGCCUUUGGAUGGGCCCGCGUUGGAUUAGCUAGUUGGUAGGGUAAAAGCCUACCAAGGCGACGAUCCAUAGCUGGUCUGAGAGGAUGAUCAGCCACACUGGGACUGAGACACGGCCCAGACUCCUACGGGAGGCAGCAGUGGGGAAUAUUGGGCAAUGGGCGAAAGCCUGAUACAGCAAUGCCGCGUGAGUGAUGAAGGCCUUAGGGUUGUAAAGCUCUUUUACCCGGGAUGAUAAUGACAGUACCGGGAGAAUAAGCUCCGGCUAACUCCGUG